This is a long non-coding RNA of Labrus mixtus (cuckoo wrasse), 317 nucleotides long. RefSeq lists it as uncharacterized. The transcript is spliced from 2 exons. Lineage: Eukaryota; Metazoa; Chordata; Actinopteri; Labriformes; Labridae. The record is from RefSeq and is a predicted model, not a curated record.
UGAACACGGUUCUCUGCAUAAGACACAACAAUCUGACAUAAAGUCACAUGUUUGCCAUUUCAAAACACUGCCAUUCAAAAUUGAGCUAAUUGGCCAAACACCUCAAUGGUUAACUGUUAUCACUUCAAUCAGGAAGUAAGCACUAUGAAAAGACCACAAGUGAGCACCUUUUUUUUUUUACAACAACAAUGGAAGAGGUUGCAGAGAGAGAAGAGGAAGAGGGAGGGUGAGAAUGAGAGGGGGAGGAAGAGUGAGAGGUUGGGGUAGAGCUGGUAGAGGAGUUCAUGGCCAAAGAAGAAAACAACUUUCAAAUGAAA